AUUGAACGCUGGCGGCAGGCCUAACACAUGCAAGUCGAACGAGUGGCGGACGGGUGAGUAAUGUCUGGGAAACUGCCCGAUGGAGGGGGAUAACUACUGGAAACGGUAGCUAAUACCGCAUACCAUCGGAUGUGCCCAGAUGGGAUUAGCUAGUAGGUGGGGUAACGGCUCACCUAGGCGACGAUCCCUAGCUGGGCUGAGAGGAGGACCAGCCACACGGAAAAUGAGACACCGUUCAGACUCCUACGGGAGGAAGGAGUGGGGAAUAUUGCACAAUGGGCGCAAGUCUGAUGCAGCCAUGCCUGGUGUAUGAAGAAGGCCUUCGGGUUGUAAAGUACUUUCAGCGAGGAGGCGUUACUCGCAGAAGAAGCACCGGCUAACUCCGUGCCAGCCGCCGCGGUAAUAC
RNAcentral lists this ribosomal RNA (406 nucleotides) under uncultured bacterium. Its description in RNAcentral is "partial 16S ribosomal RNA". It matches the Rfam family "Bacterial small subunit ribosomal RNA", at positions 30 to 526 of the family's 1533-position model. The record is from RNAcentral.